Molecule: ribosomal RNA, 490 nt
Filed under: Escherichia sp.
Lineage: Bacteria; Pseudomonadati; Pseudomonadota; Gammaproteobacteria; Enterobacterales; Enterobacteriaceae
Description: bacterial SSU rRNA
Rfam family: Bacterial small subunit ribosomal RNA
Source: RNAcentral
GGCUUCCGGAGCUAACGCGUUAAGUCGACCGCCUGGGGAGUACGGCCGCAAGGUUAAAACUCAAAUGAAUUGACGGGGGCCCGCACAAGCGUGAGCAUGUGGUUUAAUUCGAUGCAACGCGAAGAACCUUACCUGGUCUUGACAUCCACGGAAUUCGGCAGAGAUGCCUUAGUGCCUUCGGGAACCGUGAGACAGGUGCUGCAUGGCUGUCGUCAGCUCGUGUUGUGAAAUGUUGGGUUAAGUCCCGCAACGAGCGCAACCCUUAUCCUUUGUUGCCAGCGGUCCGGCCGGGAACUCAAAGGAGACUGCCAGUGAUAAACUGGAGGAAGGUGGGGAUGACGUCAAGUCAUCAUGGCCCUUACGACCAGGGCUACACACGUGCUACAAUGGCGCAUACAAAGAGAAGCGACCUCGCGAGAGCAAGCGGACCUCAUAAAGUGCGUGUGCCGGAUUGGAGUCUGCAACUCGACUCAUGAGUCUGGACGCUAUA